GGAUAUAGCUGGUUUUCUGCGAAAUUUGUUUUAGCAAGUUGUUUAUUAUAGUUACUAGUAGGUAUAGCACUGAAUAUCUAAGAAUAAAGAAGGAAUAUUAAGAAUAUUUUUUAGGAUAUUUAAUCUCAGAAUGAUUAGUAAUAAGAGUAAAUAAUGGGACUUCUUGCGAUAAGGUGGGAAGUCUAAAGGGAAACAGCCCAG
Molecule: ribosomal RNA, 201 nt
Filed under: Pneumocystis carinii
Lineage: Eukaryota; Fungi; Ascomycota; Pneumocystomycetes; Pneumocystales; Pneumocystaceae
Description: partial large subunit ribosomal RNA
Rfam family: Bacterial large subunit ribosomal RNA
Source: RNAcentral